This 423-nucleotide ribosomal RNA is filed under the name uncultured cyanobacterium. RNAcentral describes it as "bacterial SSU rRNA". It matches the Rfam family "Bacterial small subunit ribosomal RNA", at positions 356 to 795 of the family's 1533-position model. The record is from RNAcentral. Lineage: Bacteria; Bacillati; Cyanobacteriota.
GGGGAAUUUUCCGCAAUGGGCGAAAGCCUGACGGAGCAAUACCGCGUGAAGGAUGAAGGCCUGUGGGUUGUAAACUUCUUUUAUUAGAGAAGAAUACUGACGGUAUCUAAUGAAUAAGCAUCGGCUAACUCCGUGCCAGCAGCCGCGGUAAUACGGGGGAUGCAAGCGUUAUCCGGAAUUAUUGGGCGUAAAGAGUCUGUAGGUUGCUCUAUAAGUCUGCUGUUAAAUAUUAGAGCUCAACUCUAAACAAGCGGUGGAAACUAUUGAGCUAGAGUAUGGUAGAGGCAAAGGGAAUUUCCAGUGUAGCGAUGAAAUGCGUAGAUAUUGGGAAGAACACCAGAAGCGAAAGCGCUUUGCUGGGCCAUCACUGACACUCAGAGACGAAAGCUAGGGUAGCGAAUGGGAUUAGAUACCCCAGUAGUC